This 233-nucleotide long non-coding RNA is filed under the name Homo sapiens (human). RNAcentral describes it as "PREDICTED lncRNA (TCONS_00245281)". The record is from RNAcentral. Lineage: Eukaryota; Metazoa; Chordata; Mammalia; Primates; Hominidae.
CUAGAAACAAAAAAUGAAAGUGGAGAAAACCAAACAAGAAUCUUUCUUUCUUAAAGUAAACAUCGGACUGACAUCUCCUUUCAAACAUUCAUUGAGGAUCUACUCUGUGAGAAGAAGCAAUACCAUGUUAUCUCAUUCUAGUUCCAGUUCUAGUUGACUUGAUUGUCAAACGACUGCUAAGAAGUAGAGAGGAGGCUUCACCAUGUUUGCCAGGCUAGUCUGGAACUCUUGAC